AUGCGGCGACGUGGGCGGUUCGCUGCCCGCGACGUUGUGAGAAGUCCACUGAACCUUAUCAUUUAGAGGAAGGAGAAGUCGUAACAAGGUUUCCGUAGGUGAACCUGCGGAAGGAUCAUUGUCGAUGCCUCAAUCAAUUUGACCUGUGAAUUUGUUUAGACACGCGGCGUUGGCUUCAGGUCAAAGGCCUGAGCCUCGCCUCGGUAAAGAGGGAGUCAGGCUUCGCAUGACUUCAUCCUUGCCAAAACCYAAACCCCGGCGCAUCGUGCGCCAAGGAAAAUGAAAUUGUUAAUGAUGCGCUCCUGGACCCGGAGACGGUGUUCCUGUGAGUGCCGUCGUGACACAUUACACAAAAUGACUCUCGGCAACGGAUAUCUCGGCUCUUGCAUCGAUGAAGAACGUAGCGAAAUGCGAUACUUGGUGUGAAUUGCAGAAUCCCGUGAACCAUCGAGUCUUUGAACGCAAGUUGCGCCCGAAGCCAUUAGGUUGAGGGCACGCCUGCCUGGGUGUCACAAAUCGUUGCCCAAAGCCAACGCCUGACCAAAUAAGGUGUUGACGGGGCGAAUGUUGACCUCCCGCAAGCACUGCCCUGUGGUUGGUUGAAAAAUGAGUCCUCCAUGGAGAGCCCCAUGAUAAAUGGUGGUUGAGUAACACUCGAGACCAAUCAUGUGUGGCCUUUCCUCGAGCACGACUCACGUGACCCUUGCGUUCUUUCGAACGCUCAUAACGAGACCUCAGGUCAGACGGGGCUACCCGCUGAGUUUAAGCAUAUCAAUAAGCGGAGGAAAAGAAACUAACAAGGA
Molecule: small RNA, 803 nt
Filed under: Millettia sp. 2 MR-2013
Lineage: Eukaryota; Viridiplantae; Streptophyta; Magnoliopsida; Fabales; Fabaceae
Description: eukaryotic LSU rRNA
Rfam family: 5.8S ribosomal RNA (bases 357-512)
Source: RNAcentral